AUACGUAGGGGGCGAGCGUUGUCCGGAUUUACUGGGCGUAAAGGGCGUGUAGGCGGUCUUGCAAGUCAGAAGUGAAAUUCCUGAGCUCAACUCGGGCGCUGCUUCUGAAACUGCAGGACUUGAGUGCUGGAGGGGAAAGCGGAAUUCCUAGUGGAGCGGUAAAAUGCGCAGAUAUUAGGAAGAACACCGGUGGCGAAGGCGGCUAUCUGGACAGUAACUGACGCUGAGGCGCGAAAGCGUGGGGAGCGAACAGGAUUAGAUACCCUGGUAGUCCACGCGGUAACGAUGAAUGCUAGGUGUUGCGGGUAUCGACCCCUGCAGUGCCGGAGUAAACACAAUAAGCAUUCCGCCUGGGGAGUACGGCCGCAAGGUUGAAACUCAAAGGAAUUGGCGGGG
This 396-nucleotide ribosomal RNA is filed under the name uncultured bacterium. Its description in RNAcentral is "partial 16S ribosomal RNA". It matches the Rfam family "Bacterial small subunit ribosomal RNA", at positions 523 to 918 of the family's 1533-position model. The record is from RNAcentral.